UUGAUCCUGCCAUGAUCUCUGCAGAAACAAACCCUUGUGGAGCUCAUUGCAGGACUGGG
This 59-nucleotide microRNA precursor is filed under the name Chrysemys picta bellii (western painted turtle). RNAcentral's name for it is "Cpi-Mir-9586_pre stem-loop". Lineage: Eukaryota; Metazoa; Chordata; Testudines; Emydidae. The record is from RNAcentral.